CGGGGUGUGUACCCCAGAAGGCAUCGAGACCAACGUUAAGCUUCGUUUUGCUGGUGUUGUCAGCGUCGCCAUUUUUUUGCGACAGGAAAACCGCGGAACGAAGUAUCAUGGAUACCCCUGAUUGUUCUACCGAAGGCAGCAUCAGGGCUGGGACCACUUUAGUCCUUCAACCUUCAAGAAGUAAUGAGGCUAGGCUGGCUACAAAUACGACAUGCGGUCUAUCCCGAAGUGUGACGCUAGCCGUGGUGUUCAGGUUAAACGAGGAAGAGCUCAUUCUUGAGCUGGCUAGGAGAGGCACACCACUUGUUGUUCUUGGGACCAACAGUUCAACAGAAAUGAUGAGACUGCUCUUGGAAUAAAAUAGGGCAGAGUACAGUGACUGAGUCGGUUCUGUCUCGAGAGGUGUCCUUAGCUGUGCUGCCUAGGCUGAACACGGGCGAACUACUUUACGAGCUGGACCGGAGGGGCAUAACUCCCGCUCCAGGGGACAGCCGAGUAGGUCUCAUGAAACGUCUCUGUGAUGAGGUAGGGAAGGAGUACUUUAGCCGGGAAGAAAGUUCACUGAAUGUAGGAAACAACACAAGAAAUACCCCAACGCAGGAAGUACCUACCGGAGCAGAGGAAACAAGCCAGGCCGCGCCAGUACAGGAGAAACCAUCUGGAGCAAUGGCAACAGCUGCUGCUGAAGAAGAGGAAACGGAUAAUGCAGAACCCACUGAAGCAAAGCAGAAGAGGAAACAAGCUCAAGAUAAAAGCAUUGAACCGAGUUCCAAGAGAAGCAACAGAGGUGAAGAGGCAGCAGAGAAUACUGUCGAGCAAGAUCAAGAGCCUGGAACUGGUCUUGGUGCAGGGUCAAGCGCUCCGGAUCCUACGGGAAUGUCUAAUUUGGACCGUGAGCACCCCAUCAUUCAGUAUAGUAUCACUGAGAUAUCACGUGCCAACAGUCCCAAUUACUUCCCCUGUCCCGUGGAAGGGUGUGGCUACACGGGACGCUCCAGAGGUAAUCUUCAUCAACACAUUAUAGGGAGGCACGCUGAAGAGAAAUCGUACGUAUGUGAUGUGUGUGGCUUUAGGACAGCUUGGAAGGGAUCUCUAAAGAAUCAUAGAAAUACUCAUAGAUAAAUAAGAAAUAUCCCCUCUAAAGAAGGCAUGUAAAAAUCCACAUUUGCUGAACAGCAGGACCGUCAAAGCGCAACAGAACAACCCCAAUUGUGGGAGGCACUUGCCAGAUGACCACCAAAAGAAACAGAAAAUAGACAAAAAACAAGUGAGCAGACCUCGAAAUCUACAAAUCAAGGAUUGUUGAUAAAGAAAAGGUCAAAGCCGAAUCAAAAGAGCUUCACAUGAAUACAUGUAGUACUACUUGUAGCCACUAUAAUUGUCUAGAAAUUAGUGUGCCUUUUUGUGUUUUAUAAGUGACGUUAGUAUCAGUC
Molecule: long non-coding RNA, 1433 nt
Organism: Branchiostoma belcheri (Belcher's lancelet)
Lineage: Eukaryota; Metazoa; Chordata; Leptocardii; Amphioxiformes; Branchiostomatidae
Exons: 4
Source: RefSeq, a predicted model, not a curated record